UAAGUCAGAUGUGAAAGCCUUCUGUUCAACGGAAGAAUUGCAUCUGAAACUACAAGUCUUGAGUGUAGGAGGGGAGAAUGGAACUUCUGGUGGAGCGGUGAAAUGCGUAGAUAUCAGAAGGAACGCCGGCGGCGAAAGCGAUUCUCUGGCCUAUUACUGACACUCAGUGUGCGAAAGCUAGGGGAGCAAACGGGAUUAGGUACCCCGGUAGUCCUAGCCGUAAACGAUGGGCACUAAGUAGAAGGGAUUACCGAUGUUCUCUCUGCCGUAGCUAACGCAUUAAGUGCCCCGCCUGGGGAGUACGGCCGCAAGGCUAAAACUCAAAAGAAUUGACAGGGGCUCGCACAAGCGGUGGAGCAUGUGGCUUAAUUCGAUGCAACGCGAAGAACCUUACCGGGGCUUGACAUGGUAGAAGUAGGAACCCGAAAGGGUAACGAACGGUAUCCAGUCCGUGACUAUCACAGGUGUUGCAUGGCUGUCGUCAGCUCGUGUCGUGAGACGUUGGGUUAAGUCCCCUAACGAGCGAAACCCUUGUUUUUAGUUACCAGCGGGUUAUGCCGGGUACUCUAGAAAGACUGCCGUCGUCAAGACGGAGGAAGGUGGGGAUGACGUCAAGUCAUCAUGGCCCUUAUGCCCCGGGCUGCACACGUGCUACAAUGGUCGGUACAAACGGAAGCGAAGCCGAGAGGUGAAGCGAAUCCAAGC
Molecule: ribosomal RNA, 705 nt
Filed under: uncultured Planctomycetota bacterium
Lineage: Bacteria; Pseudomonadati; Planctomycetota
Description: bacterial SSU rRNA
Rfam family: Bacterial small subunit ribosomal RNA
Source: RNAcentral